UAAGCAUGUAUCACAAGGGAGGAGUGGCAGUCAGCUGACUUCAGGGUACAGAGAAAACCAAACUGAGGAAAAAACAAGGCAGAACUUUAAACAGAACUCUAAUUCAGCUGGUUUAAAUAAAACAAUUUGCCUGCAAAGACUUAAAAGCUGACUUCAAUAGUUAUUGCUUGGCUGGGUUUUCUUCCAACCACACCAUUGUACUUGGACAGAAACAUGUGAAGAUGUCUUUGCCUGCUAUGAACCAACAACGCCUCCAGAGAUGCUUCCACAAUACAACAGCCAAAGAAUACGUAUUUAAUUAUAAAUUUUUCUCCCCAAACAAGAUGGAGUAACUAAUAAUUCUUUAGUGUGAGCCAGUUGUUCUGUCCCAGAAAUUGUAAUUUACUACCUAGAUUUUUGCCAUAUACAAAUACUAUCAGACAGGUUUUACGUUAUUUGUUUGCUGAUCAUUCACAAAAAUACAGAGUACGUUAUGGUCAUUCUGACUUGUACAGAAAAUCCUAAUAAAGAACGUAGCCAG
Molecule: long non-coding RNA, 520 nt
Organism: Parus major (Great Tit)
Lineage: Eukaryota; Metazoa; Chordata; Aves; Passeriformes; Paridae
Exons: 2
Source: RefSeq, a predicted model, not a curated record